Molecule: ribosomal RNA, 1244 nt
Filed under: Vibrio owensii
Lineage: Bacteria; Pseudomonadati; Pseudomonadota; Gammaproteobacteria; Vibrionales; Vibrionaceae
Description: bacterial SSU rRNA
Rfam family: Bacterial small subunit ribosomal RNA
Source: RNAcentral
UAGCUGGUCUGAGAGGAUGAUCAGCCACACUGGAACUGAGACACGGUCCAGACUCCUACGGGAGGCAGCAGUGGGGAAUAUUGCACAAUGGGCGCAAGCCUGAUGCAGCCAUGCCGCGUGUGUGAAGAAGGCCUUCGGGUUGUAAAGCACUUUCAGUCGUGAGGAAGGUGGUAGUGUUAAUAGCACUAUCAUUUGACGUUAGCGACAGAAGAAGCACCGGCUAACUCCGUGCCAGCAGCCGCGGUAAUACGGAGGGUGCGAGCGUUAAUCGGAAUUACUGGGCGUAAAGCGCAUGCAGGUGGUUUGUUAAGUCAGAUGUGAAAGCCCGGGGCUCAACCUCGGAAUAGCAUUUGAAACUGGCAGACUAGAGUACUGUAGAGGGGGGUAGAAUUUCAGGUGUAGCGGUGAAAUGCGUAGAGAUCUGAAGGAAUACCGGUGGCGAAGGCGGCCCCCUGGACAGAUACUGACACUCAGAUGCGAAAGCGUGGGGAGCAAACAGGAUUAGAUACCCUGGUAGUCCACGCCGUAAACGAUGUCUACUUGGAGGUUGUGGCCUUGAGCCGUGGCUUUCGGAGCUAACGCGUUAAGUAGACCGCCUGGGGAGUACGGUCGCAAGAUUAAAACUCAAAUGAAUUGACGGGGGCCCGCACAAGCGGUGGAGCAUGUGGUUUAAUUCGAUGCAACGCGAAGAACCUUACCUACUCUUGACAUCCAGAGAACUUUCCAGAGAUGGAUUGGUGCCUUCGGGAACUCUGAGACAGGUGCUGCAUGGCUGUCGUCAGCUCGUGUUGUGAAAUGUUGGGUUAAGUCCCGCAACGAGCGCAACCCUUAUCCUUGUUUGCCAGCGAGUAAUGUCGGGAACUCCAGGGAGACUGCCGGUGAUAAACCGGAGGAAGGUGGGGACGACGUCAAGUCAUCAUGGCCCUUACGAGUAGGGCUACACACGUGCUACAAUGGCGCAUACAGAGGGCAGCAAGCUAGCGAUAGUGAGCGAAUCCCAAAAAGUGCGUCGUAGUCCGGAUUGGAGUCUGCAACUCGACUCCAUGAAGUCGGAAUCGCUAGUAAUCGUGGAUCAGAAUGCCACGGUGAAUACGUUCCCGGGCCUUGUACACACCGCCCGUCACACCAUGGGAGUGGGCUGCAAAAGAAGUAGGUAGUUUAACCUUCGGGAGGACGCUUACCACUUUGUGGUUCAUGACUGGGGUGAAGUCGUAACAAGGUAGCGCUAGGGGAACCUGGCGCUG